RNAcentral lists this ribosomal RNA (465 nucleotides) under uncultured bacterium. RNAcentral's name for it is "partial 16S ribosomal RNA". It matches the Rfam family "Bacterial small subunit ribosomal RNA", at positions 28 to 507 of the family's 1533-position model. The record is from RNAcentral.
GACGAACGCUGGCGGCGUGCUUAACACAUGCAAGUCGAACGGAAAGGCCCUGCUUGCAGGGUACUCGAGUGGCGAACGGGUGAGUAACACGUGGGUGAUCUGCCCUGCACUUCGGGAUAAGCCUGGGAAACUGGGUCUAAUACCGGAUAGGAGCCAUUUUUAGUGUGAUGGUUGGAAAGUUUUUUUGGUGUAGGAUGAGCUCGCGGCCUAUCAGCUUGUUGGUGGGGUAAUGGCCUACCAAGGCGGCGACGGGUAGCCGGCCUGAGAGGGUGGACGGCCACAUUGGGACUGAGAUACGGCCCAGACUCCUACGGGAGGCAGCAGUGGGGAAUAUUGCACAAUGGGCGCAAGCCUGAUGCAGCGACGCCGCGUGGGGGAUGACGGCCUUCGGGUUGUAAACUCCUUUCGCUAGGGACGAAGCUUUUUGUGACGGUACCUAGAGAAGAAGCACCGGCUAACUACGUG